UUGCCAUGAUUCACCUCUGUAGUAGGUGGGUUGUGGUUAGGCGUGGUCGGUGUGCCACCACCGGCCGGCGCGCUC
Non-coding RNA from Magnetospirillum sp. 64-120, 75 nucleotides. NCBI's taxonomy places the organism in Bacteria, Pseudomonadati, Pseudomonadota, Alphaproteobacteria, Rhodospirillales, Rhodospirillaceae. The record is from Rfam.